AUCUCCAUUACCAACAUGAACUGCAUUUGCUGCACCAUACAGUUUUGACCCCAGGAGGUAUCAAAUAUAGAAAAAAAAUACUUAGACCAAGAUGAGGUUUUAACCUGACAGAGCUAGGUAGUAUUGAUAUAACCAAAACUGCAUCUAACAUGAAAACCAUCAGUCUGUCUUCCUCCCCACACCUCAAGUGUCCACUGUAUUGGCUCGUCGUCAGAGUUAGGUCACCCUGUAAAUAAACAGACACAAUUUGUGAUAUUAAAACAAUGAUCUAAAACAUUUAACCACA
Long non-coding RNA from Sinocyclocheilus rhinocerous, 286 nucleotides. RefSeq lists it as uncharacterized. The transcript has 3 exons. The record is from RefSeq and is a predicted model, not a curated record. NCBI's taxonomy places the organism in Eukaryota, Metazoa, Chordata, Actinopteri, Cypriniformes, Cyprinidae.